AUGUCAGGCCGAUGGGGUCACCGAGUUGUGGUGUAUUGCGGUGAACCACAAUACUUCUUUUUAAAUGACACUCUGCAUGUCACUGCCUAUGAUUCUCGUUUGGAAACAUUUGACUUGAACCAUAAUUCAUUAAACAUGAUAGUUACAGUGGACACGGGUGGGAAUACUUGGAGGACAACUCGACAGCCUCCCCAGACUGAAUUUACUUUCAUUGGGCUCUCUCAGGGACGCUUGCAUGGUAUUGAGAUGGAAGAUGGUAAUGGUUGCCGGAUAUCAGUUUGGAUUCUUGAGGAUUAUGCACACAACCAGCAUUCUGGAUCUGCUAGGAAGGCCUUGUCUAGAGCACAGAGAGUACUACGCCUUUGUUGCACUCCAUCCAGAACGUAA
Molecule: ribosomal RNA, 387 nt
Filed under: Triticum aestivum (bread wheat)
Lineage: Eukaryota; Viridiplantae; Streptophyta; Magnoliopsida; Poales; Poaceae
Description: partial small subunit ribosomal RNA
Source: RNAcentral